GACGAACGCUGGCGGCGUGCUUAACACAUGCAAGUCGAACGCUGAAGCCCUUUCGGGGGUGGAUGAGUGGCGAACGGGUGAGUAACACGUGGGUAAUCUGCCCUGCACUCUGGGAUAAGCCUUGGAAACGGGGUCUAAUACCGGAUAGGACACAUCGCCGCAUGGGGUGUGUGUGGAAAGUUCCGGCGGUGCAGGUUGAGCCCGCGGCCUAUCAGCUUGUUGGGGGGGUGAUGGCCUACCAAGGCGACGACGGGUAGCCGGCCUGAGAGGGUGACCGGCCACACUGGGACUGAGACACGGCCCAGACUCCUACGGGAGGCAGCAGUGGGGAAUCUUGCGCAAUGGGCGAAAGCCUUACGCAGCAACGCCGCGUGGGGGAUGACGGCCUUCGGGUUGUAAACCUCUUUCGACCGGGACGAAGGGUGACUGACGGUACCGGUAGAAGAAGCACCGGCUAACUACGUGCCAGCCGCCGCAGUAA
RNAcentral lists this ribosomal RNA (481 nucleotides) under uncultured bacterium. RNAcentral describes it as "partial 16S ribosomal RNA". It matches the Rfam family "Bacterial small subunit ribosomal RNA", at positions 28 to 523 of the family's 1533-position model. The record is from RNAcentral.